Molecule: long non-coding RNA, 168 nt
Organism: Frankliniella occidentalis (western flower thrips)
Lineage: Eukaryota; Metazoa; Arthropoda; Insecta; Thysanoptera; Thripidae
Exons: 3
Source: RefSeq, a predicted model, not a curated record
CAUGGAUGUUCUGGAGACCGCUUAUACUUUGCUGAUGGCACACAAAUGUCCAUGUUAGAGAUCAGACGGGCGCUGCUACAGCACAGGACACUAGAUGGAAGGCCUAAAAUAAUUAUAGUCCAGGCAUGCCGGGGACAGGACCACCUUGUUGCAUUGAGAGAUGGUAGU